UGAGGAGAGAAGAAGCUGGAACUCUCUGAU
This 30-nucleotide non-coding RNA is filed under the name Homo sapiens (human). The record is from RNAcentral. Lineage: Eukaryota; Metazoa; Chordata; Mammalia; Primates; Hominidae.